Molecule: long non-coding RNA, 2451 nt
Organism: Biomphalaria glabrata
Lineage: Eukaryota; Metazoa; Mollusca; Gastropoda; Planorbidae
Exons: 11
Source: RefSeq, a predicted model, not a curated record
GUUAAGGUGACAUUUGGCAUGCUUUUUUUUCCAGAACUGAGGCAAAUCUUUUUCGCUGUCCAUACCUUUCUUGGUUACCAUUUCUUUACAUAGUGUGUACAUCUGGAACCUGUCAUGAAUUGUCCAUAAAAAUAACACUUGGUAUAUGAUUGUCCUGCAGGACCAAGCCAGCUCAGACGUCGUUGUCUGAGGAUUGUAAAGAUAUUUGGAAGACCAAUUUUAUCAAGUAACUUUAUAAAUGUUAUAAUAUCAUUAGCUCUUGGAAAUCCUAUGCCGAACUGGGAGUCGAACACUUAGUGAGGUUGUGACUGAACGUCGCAUGAGGUUUGCGGGACAUGUUCUACGUCAAAAUGAAUUACGCACACCAAGAGUUGCGAUAACAUGGAAGCCAAAACAAGGAAAGCGCAAACAGGGACGUCCUCGUAUUACCUGGCGACACGCCUUCAUGGAGGACCUCAGAACAGUGGACACCAGGUGGGAGGAGGCUUCAGACAUUACCAGUGACAGAUCAUUAUGGAGACAGCUUGCCGCCCAAUGCGCCGAACGGCGCCGGAGGACCUAUGUCUAAGACUGUGUCUCAGCGAAGCAUAAGAGUUGGUCUUGGAUUCAAACAGUCAAUGAAUGUUUAGGCAUUCAUAAUGAAAAUACUGCUAACUAUCAUCAGUUCUACCAUGAUGUUUGCCACCUGGAAGAAGACAUGCUUUCAUUCUUGCUUUGGAUGGACAGUUCAACAGUUAGAGCUCAAGUCAAGACUCAAGAUCCUGAUGUCAUGUUAAAAUAUUUCAGAUUAAUAAACAAUUGUUGGACUAUCAGGGCUAGUUAGAUCUUCUCACAGAGCGAAGUUGAGAUAUUCACCCAGUUCAUCACCGCCAAGAACUGCCAGAAUGGCAUUUGAAGGCUAGAGCUCUUGUCCAAUAUCAGCACAAACAUGUGUCAUUAGCAAAAGGGGACUUUGUCAAGAUUUUGGAAAAUUCUGAUGCUGAAAGAUGGAAGAUGGAAUAGAAAGUGAAGUCCCUGCUAUUGUGUUGGUCAUUCCUUCCUGCUUCCAACAGAUUGAUAAAUUAGGAGAACAAAUCAAGGUCAAUAGUUCUAUUGCUGCUGAUAAAUGGUCACAUUUAAUCCAGUUUUUAAGUGCUGCUAUUUCCCAGACACAGUCCAAAGAUUUAUGUUUUUCCUGCUGAAGAUGGUGAAUGAGGCAGCAGACAUCUUGAAAGGAGCUGAUUUCAAGUUCCUUCAACACUCUUUUCAUUUUAUUUAGGAAGAAGCUCAUCAGUCACUUCAAACCAGGUGAUGAUGGAGUCAUAAACAGUAGGAUACAGAGGUGAAACAAAACUGGAGCUUUAGUUUGUUUGUUUGUAGAACUUGGCAUCUACUCCAGACAUUAUUCUGAAGAACACUCAAGUAAAAGAAAAGAAGAAAUGUUAAAGGUUAAGGACUUGGGCUCCAAUCAUACUUACACUUCAAAAGCUUUAAUUUGAAAGGUCUUAUAUUUUUGUGGAAAUAAAUUUUACUAGUGGAGUUUUUGUAGCUGCCAGAGUGGAUCAAGGUGGAUGUGAUAUCUAUUUAUAAACAUGUAUACCAGUAUAUUGUAAUCAGUGAUUUUCAUUUUUUGGUAACAGUUUGUUUCCAUUUAGAUUGCAGUCUUUCUUAUGUGAAAACAAGAUGUCUGCAUAAUCUUAGAGGACAUUUUUAAACUCAUUUAAAUUUAUUAGAUGAAAUAUUUAUAAAACAUACAAUGUAAAUUGUUUUGUAAAAUGAUUAUACAUUUGAGUUCAUAAAAAUGUGUAAUUUUUUAAUGGCAUCAUGUUUCUGCUUAUCUGUAUCUGAUACUGAUGAUGUGUUUUCUAAAUCUAUUACUGCUUCACCAUUGAGGAAAAACUGCACAUGUUUAAACCCAUAUCUGAAGUAACUUUCCAGAAAAAAAAAAGAUGUAUGUUGGACAGUGUCCAAAAUUUCAAAUCAUUUCCUUCAAAAUGUUAUCUAUUUCCUCCAUAACUUCAUAACAUUAUUGAAUUUUUUCCUUCAGAACACAAUUGUAAAUUAUCUUUUUUUUUUUUUUUUUUUUUUUUUUUUUAAACCACAAUGAGAGUCUAAUAACUAAUAGUCUAGCAAACAAUUACUUAUAAUUUGCCUUAUUAUUAUACAAUAUUAAGAUUUACUUCUGCAGGGAUGAAAAACUUUUUUUAAAAUACAAUAGACAUGUAUAAUAAUAAAGUACAUUCACACCUGACUCACUCAUAAUUUACAUGUGAAAAGUUUAUAUCAGAUUGUUUCUAUUUAAUGAUUUGAUUGCCAUCAGUGUCUUGUAUCUCUUUUGUGAUGGUAAAGUCACAAAAUGUAGGAAACCCCACUGUGUUUGGUCCAGUAUGUGGGUUAUUAUAUGUAAGUCUAUUGUAUUUUCUAUAUUAUUUUACAAAUGUAAAAAAAAUAAAAAGAAAUUGUUACACUGUU